RNAcentral lists this ribosomal RNA (435 nucleotides) under uncultured bacterium. RNAcentral describes it as "bacterial LSU rRNA". It matches the Rfam family "Bacterial large subunit ribosomal RNA", at positions 1304 to 1742 of the family's 2925-position model. The record is from RNAcentral.
GAGUAGCGAUAAAGGGUGUGAAAAGCACCCUCGCCGUAAGCCCAAGGUUUCCUGCGCAACGUUCAUCGGCGCAGGGUGAGUCGGCCCCUAAGGCGAGGCAGAAAUGCGUAGUCGAGUGGGAAACAGGUCAAUAUUCCUGUACCGCUCUAUGAUGCGAUGGGGGACGGAGAAGGUUAGCUCGGCCAUCUGUUGGAAUAGGUGGUUUAAGCGUGUAGUCGUGCCGCGUAGGCAAAUCCGCGUGGCUUAGAUGAGGCGUGAUGACGAGGAUCCUCGGAUCCGAAGUGAGUGAUACCCAGCUUCCAGGAAAAGCCUCUAAGCUUCAGUCAUAGAGUGACCGUACCGCAAACCGACACAGGUGGGCUGGUAGAGAAUACCAAGGCGCUUGAGAGAACUCAGGAGAAGGAACUCGGCAAAUUGAUACCGUAACUUCGGGAG